AUACGGAGGGUGCAAGCGUUGUCCGGAUUUAUUGGGUUUAAAGGGUGCGUAGGCGGAUUUUUAAGUCAGUGGUGAAAUCCUGCAGCUUAACUGUAGAACUGCCAUUGAUACUGGAGAUCUUGAGUACACUAGAAGUAGGCGGAAUUUAUGGUGUAGCGGUGAAAUGCAUAGAUACCAUAAAGAACACCGAUAGCGUAGGCAGCUUACUGGAGUGUAACUGACGCUGAGGCACGAAAGCAUGGGGAGCGAACAGGAUUAGAAACCCCAGUAGUCC
RNAcentral lists this ribosomal RNA (274 nucleotides) under uncultured bacterium. RNAcentral describes it as "partial 16S ribosomal RNA". It matches the Rfam family "Bacterial small subunit ribosomal RNA", at positions 523 to 796 of the family's 1533-position model. The record is from RNAcentral.